AGCGAACGUUUGCGGCGGGCUUAACACAUGCAAGUCGAACGAGAAUCCCUUCGGGGAGGAAAGUGGCGCACGGGUGCGUAACACGUGGAUAACCAACCCAUUGGUUUGGGACAACACCGGGAAACUGGUGCUAAUACCAGAUGUGUCGCAGCUGUCUUCAGGCGGUUGCGAGAAAGGCCCGCAAGGGUCGCCAACGGACGGGUCCGCGUCCCAUCAGCUAGUUGGUGAGGUAAUGGCUCACCAAGGCUUAGACGUCUAGGGGGUGUGAGAGCAUGGCCCCCACCACUGGACGUNAGAUACUGCCCACGANACCUACGGGUGGGCUGCAGUCGAGAAAUCUUUCGGCGAAUAGGGCGG
RNAcentral lists this ribosomal RNA (357 nucleotides) under uncultured bacterium. RNAcentral's name for it is "bacterial SSU rRNA". It matches the Rfam family "Bacterial small subunit ribosomal RNA", at positions 29 to 378 of the family's 1533-position model. The record is from RNAcentral.